Gasterosteus aculeatus aculeatus (three-spined stickleback) is the source of this 801-nucleotide long non-coding RNA. The record is from Ensembl. NCBI's taxonomy places the organism in Eukaryota, Metazoa, Chordata, Actinopteri, Perciformes, Gasterosteidae.
GCUGCUGUCACCAUGGAAACCAUCGAUGCAUCUCUGGGUCUCAGUGAGGAAAAGACACCGGAUCACCUAGCAGGUUAAUCAAAAAAGAAACAGAUGGAGAGACACCCAGAAGAAAAGAUGACCAUCAUGAUGAGCUCAUCAGAGACGUCCACAAAUUCAGCAGGACCUCCUGGGGAGGGGGAGGCGAGUUUCACAGGGGAGCAAGUGGAUCCACGUCAGUGCGCCGACACUGUGGAGGAACCACACUGCUGCACCUCGACCUCCUCAGUGCUGCUCACCUGUGAGCCCCAUCCUGGAGAGAAGCCCUUCACCUGUGAGCAGCGUGGGAGGAGUUCCUGACAACGUUGUUCUUUCAGGAAUCAUCAACACGUUCCCGCUGGAGAGUAAAGUGAAGCCUGAGAGUCUCUGGUGCGAAGCGUCGACCUGGACUGUCUGCAUCUCUUCAAAAAAAGUGACGUGAUUUCUCUAUUGACAUUAAAACUUUAUUGACGUUUAUUCUGCAUCCAACUUUUGUUGUCAUGUGUCAUAAUAAUGCUAAUACACAACCCACAAAACCUUCUGAAACAAGUAAAAGUCCUGCAUAUCAAAUCUGACUUGAAGUUGCAACAGAACAGUCGUGUUGCGUUGAAGCGGACGGUCGCUGUGGACUGAAGAGGAAAUGUCUCAGAGCACCAGCUGGAGUCUGAGCUGAAGGAAGUUCUGGUGAACCUGCUUGAGUUUAUCUGAUAGCAGAAAGCCAUUGCAGAACGAGGAGCCUGACGAACAAAUAAGAAAAAAACUUGACAAAUGGCCUCAUGGUGG